This 905-nucleotide long non-coding RNA is filed under the name Olea europaea (common olive). RNAcentral describes it as "long non-coding RNA (OEUR_LNC005586)". The record is from RNAcentral. Lineage: Eukaryota; Viridiplantae; Streptophyta; Magnoliopsida; Lamiales; Oleaceae.
GGAUAGAGAUUGCAGUGAAGCACUUUCCUAUCUCAUCCGCUAGGUUAAGAUCUACGAUGUUUCUUCAAGAACUGCUGUUCUUCCCUCAAUACUGCGAGAGGUUCCAAUUCGCUGUGCACGAACACGCAUCAGUGCCUUCACUCCAAACGGGUUGCCCUUGCUCUGCAUUAUCACGAGUUGGAAAGUAAACGCAUGACCAAUUAAGUAACAAGCUCAAUAUUUGAGAUUCAAUUUACUUCUUACCAGUGAACAGGUUCCUGAAGAUAUGUGACACACAGGGUACCUAUGAGGACAGCAACUGGCAUUGUCUUCACAACAUGUGGCACCCUCGAGAGGGCAGCAUCCCCAGAUAAAGCACGAGCCAAGUAAUUCCUCGAGACAGCAGCAAGUAUCGCUCUCGGGGCAUACAGAAAACUCAUCACAAAUAUUGUCAGGCUUGGAUGGAGAUGGAGGAGACGGACCUGGGUUUGGUGGAUUUUUGCUAGUCUUGAUUGGGUAAGAUGGCUCCAUGGCUAUUCCACAUAGACCGGAUUUGGCAGCCACAUUACGCUGCAUCCUGAUGUAGCCCUUUUCUCCCCAAUAUUCACCCCACGAGUUUCUAAUAAUCCAGUAAUCAAGACCAUCUUCGGUGCCAUAUCCGACAGCAUUCACACCAUGGUCUAAAGAAGUGCCACACUUUCCAGUGAAUAUGCCCUGGAGAGAUUUGAUCAAAAGAGAAUAUUUUUAAAAAAAACUAUGAUUAGUUGCAACUUGCAAGAAAAGAGAAAGUGAUAUACCGAUUCAUAUAACUGGAAGUCGAUCCCUGAACCUUCCAUAGAAAUGCUCACUGGUUGAUUUGCAACCGCCUUCUUUAGUGCCUUUUCGUUAUAUGGAGCUACGUCUUCAUAACUAUCAAUGGACACAAC